RNAcentral lists this ribosomal RNA (253 nucleotides) under uncultured bacterium. Its description in RNAcentral is "partial 16S ribosomal RNA". It matches the Rfam family "Bacterial small subunit ribosomal RNA", at positions 524 to 776 of the family's 1533-position model. The record is from RNAcentral.
GACGUAGGGGGCCAGCGUUGUUCGGAAUUACUGGGCGUAAAGCGUGCGUAGACGGUUAUGUAAGUCGGGUGUGAAAGCCCCGGGCUCAACCUGGGAAUGCCAUUCGAGACUGCAUAGCUAGGGUGCGGAAGAGGGAAGCGGAAUUUCCGGUGUAGCGGUGAAAUGCGUAGAUAUCGGAAGGAACACCAGUGGCGAAAGCGGCUUCCUGGUCCAGCACCGACGUUCAGGCACGAAAGCGUGGGGAGCAAACAGG